UGGGGAAUAUUGCACAAUGGGCGCAAGCCUGAUGCAGCCAUGCCGCGUGUAUGAAGAAGGCCUUCGGGUUGUAAAGUACUUUCAGCGGGGAGGAAGGGAGUAAAGUUAAUACCUUUGCUCAUUGACGUUACCCCCAGAAGAAGCACCGGCUAACUCCGUGCCAGCAGCCGCGGUAAUACGGAGGGUGCAAGCGUUAAUCGGAAUUACUGGGCGUAAAGUGCACGCAGGCGGUCUGUCAAGUCGGAUGUGAAAUCCCCGGGCUCAACCUGGGAACUGCAUUCGAAACUGGCAGGCUAGAGUCUUGUAGAGGGGGGUAGAAUUCCAGGUGUAGCGGUGAAAUGCGUAGAGAUCUGGAGGAAUACCGGUGGCGAAGGCGGCCCCCUGGACAAAGACUGACGCUCAGGUGCGAAAGCGUGGGGAGCAAACAGG
This 429-nucleotide ribosomal RNA is filed under the name Chloroflexota bacterium. RNAcentral's name for it is "Chloroflexi bacterium partial 16S ribosomal RNA". It matches the Rfam family "Bacterial small subunit ribosomal RNA", at positions 355 to 776 of the family's 1533-position model. Lineage: Bacteria; Bacillati; Chloroflexota. The record is from RNAcentral.